Molecule: ribosomal RNA, 835 nt
Filed under: uncultured Sphingobacteriales bacterium
Lineage: Bacteria; Pseudomonadati; Bacteroidota; Sphingobacteriia; Sphingobacteriales
Description: bacterial SSU rRNA
Rfam family: Bacterial small subunit ribosomal RNA (bases 3-546)
Source: RNAcentral
UAGAGUUUGAUCCUGGCUCAGAAUGAACGCUGGCGGCAGGCUAAAUACUUGCAGUCCUAGGGCAAUCAUUGUUGUCAAUACUCGCUAUCUACCGGCAGACAAGGGCGGAGCACCAAGCUGAACCUUCUGACAAGUGGAGAAUAACCCCCAGAAGAUAUGGAUGAUUACCGCUUAACAUGAUGACGUGACAUCAUUUUAGUAAUACAGCUUCUUCGCUACUUGAUGGGUGUGCGGCUGAUUAGAUAGUUGGCGGGGUAACGGCCCACCAAGUCUACGAUCAGUACCUGAUGUGAGAGCAUGAUCAGCCACACUGGCACUGAGACCCGAGCCCGACUCCUACGGGAGGCAGCAGUAAGGAAUAUUGGGUCNAUGGACGAAAGUCUGAACCAGCCAUGCCGCUUGAANAAUUAAAGUCCUCUGGAUUGUAAACUUCUUUAAUCUNGGACGAAANAGGAAAUCUUUCACCCUUNACGNUACCAGGUGNAUAACCGCCCGCUNACUCCGUGGCAGCAGCCCCGUUAGAGCCAGGNAGUGCAAGUCGUUUUCUGUAUCGCCUGGUUUGAAGGGACGCGGGGCGGGGUAUUUAAGGCGAUGUUGACAUCCUAGCCGGGGGUGUCAGGCUGCCCUGAGUACCAUUUGGCCUUAAGGUCGGGGAAGAAGACCGCCUGCACGCUCGGACGGCUAGAGGGGUAAAUAGGAGCAGGGGCACGCUGGUCGGGAGUACGUCGACCCGGCUUGUUGGGGCGCGCGGGGGGGGGCCGGAGGGUACCGGCAGAAGGGGUAACGCGCUGAGNAAGGUCGCCGAUACAGUUUGCCGCCUGAUUGUGACGCGGUG